This 508-nucleotide ribosomal RNA is filed under the name uncultured bacterium. RNAcentral's name for it is "bacterial SSU rRNA". It matches the Rfam family "Bacterial small subunit ribosomal RNA", at positions 28 to 527 of the family's 1533-position model. The record is from RNAcentral.
GACGAACGCUGGCGGCGUGGAUUAGGCAUGCAAGUCGAACGGUAUCAUCCUUUCGGGGGUGAGAGAGUGGCGAACUGGUGAGUAACACGUAGGUUAUCUACCCUCAAGACGGGGACAACCCAGGGAAACUUGGGCUAAUACCGGAUGUGAGCAACUUUUAGUUGUUUGAAAGGUGGCGUAAGCUGUCGCUUGGGGAUGAGCCUGCGUCCUAUUAGUUAGUUGGUGAGGUAACGGCUCACCUAGGCAAUGAUAGGUAGGCGGCCUUAACGGGUGGUCGCCCACACUGGGAUUGAGAUACGGCCCAGACUCCUGCGGGAGGCAGCAGUCGAGAAUAGUCUACAAUGGUCGGAAGACUGAUAGUGCGACGCCGCGUGAACGAUGAAUCCCUUCGGGUGUAAAGUUCUUUUAUAUGUGAGCAGUGCUUCUUAUAUUAAACAGUAUGGGGAGAGAGAUAUUAGCAUAUGAAUAAGCAACGGCUAACUCCGUGCCAGCAGCCGCGGUAAACUCG